AUCCUUAUAUGUUGUUGUAACUUCCAUGGAACAAUGUCGCUUGGGAACAGGGCUCUAUUGAUCUUGCUUUCACACAGUAAGGCUCAUGGGCAGUCCCAUUCUCAGCUUUGUUCAACACCCAUGGCUUCAACCCUCCAAGGCCAUGAGCAACCUCCACGAGUGAGGACCAUAAACCUGUGACCACCAGCGCAUCAGAACAACUCAGAAGGUAUAUCUCAGCCCAUGCUCUCUUACUUUCCAUGUUCCUCGGGGUUUUUUGGUAGUCCUUGUAGCUCGGCUUGUGAACGCUGAUUAUCUCUCCCAUCACUGUUGGGUUUUCCCAAUAUACGUCCCUGAUACUCUUAAAAUACCCUGGAGAAGAAGAUGAGAUAAACACUGCCUUUGAUUUUCGGUUCAGAACUUGGCUUGAAGGGAGAUUUCUUUGUUUGUCAACUUCAGGAAGCAGCUUAUGUCUAGUUCCACAAGCUAAAAUCUGAUCUAUCAAAUGCUGGAACUGUUCAUUUCCAGACUCAGAGACCCCAAUAUAGAUUCCUAUUCUUUGAUCAGCCUUAGCAAGAUAUGCGUUAUAGUAUCGUGUAAUGAGACCCCAGACAACAUUAGUUGGGUGAAAGAGAUACUGACUUAAGAAGUGAAAAGCAGUAUCUUUU
Long non-coding RNA from Arabidopsis thaliana (thale cress), 647 nucleotides. RefSeq annotates it as other RNA. The record is from RefSeq. The transcript has 2 exons. NCBI's taxonomy places the organism in Eukaryota, Viridiplantae, Streptophyta, Magnoliopsida, Brassicales, Brassicaceae.